CGUCCUAUUAGCUAGUUGGUGAGGUAAUGGCUCACCAAGGCUACGAUGGGUAGGGGUUCUUAGUGGAAGGUCCCCCACACUGGCACUGAGAUACGGGCCAGACUCCUACGGGAGGCAGCAGUAGGGAAUAUUGGUCAAUGGGCGCAAGCCUGAACCAGCCAUGCCGCGUGCAGGAUGAAGGCUCUCUGAGUUGUAAACUGCUUUUGUACAGGAGCAAAAAAAUCCCUGCGGGGGUUCUUGAGAGUACUGUAAGAAUAAGCACCGGCUAAUUCCGUGCCAGCAGCCGCGGUAAUACGGGAGGUGCAAGCGUUAUCCGGUUUUAUUGGUUUAAAGGGUGCGUAGGCGGCUUAUUAAGUCAGUUGUGAAAUCCUAGUGCUUAACGCUAGAACUGCGAUUGAUACUAUU
Molecule: ribosomal RNA, 405 nt
Filed under: Candidatus Cardinium hertigii
Lineage: Bacteria; Pseudomonadati; Bacteroidota; Cytophagia; Cytophagales; Amoebophilaceae
Description: bacterial SSU rRNA
Rfam family: Bacterial small subunit ribosomal RNA
Source: RNAcentral